GGACCAAGGAGUCUAGCAUGUGCGCGAGUCAUUGGGAUAUUUUUAAACCUAAAGGCGUAAUGAAAGUGAACGUCAACCUUGCGUUGACCGAGGGAAGAUGGGUCGCCGUAAUUGGCGGCCUCGCAUUCCCGGGGCGUCUCGUUCUCAUUGCGAGAUGAGGCGCACCAAUAGCGUACACGCUAGGACCCGAAAGAUGGUGAACUAUGCCUGGUCAGGACGAAGUCAGGGGAAACCCUGAUGGAGGUCCGUAGCGAUUCUGACGUGCAAAUCGAUCGUCUGAACUGGGUAUAGGGGCGAAAGACUAAUCGAACCAUCUAGUAGCUGGUUCCCUCCGAAGUUUCCCUCAGGAUAGCUGGCGCUCAUUGUAUAAGAGUUUCAUCCGGUAAAGCGAAUGAUUAGAGGCAUUGGGGUCGAAACGGCCUCAACCUAUUCUCAAACUUUAAAUGGGUGAGAUCUCUGGCUUGCUCGAACUAUUGAAGCCACGAGACUCGAAUCAGAGUGCCAAGUGGGCCAUUUUUGGUAAGCAGAACUGGCGCUGUGGGAUGAACCAAACGCAGAGUUAAAGCGCCUAAAUCGACGCUUAUGGGACACCACGAAAGGCGUUGGUAACUUAAGACAUCAGGACGGUGGCCAUGGAAGUCGGA
Molecule: ribosomal RNA, 644 nt
Filed under: Cis nitidus
Lineage: Eukaryota; Metazoa; Arthropoda; Insecta; Coleoptera; Ciidae
Description: eukaryotic LSU rRNA
Rfam family: Eukaryotic large subunit ribosomal RNA
Source: RNAcentral